This 465-nucleotide ribosomal RNA is filed under the name uncultured bacterium. Its description in RNAcentral is "partial 16S ribosomal RNA". It matches the Rfam family "Bacterial small subunit ribosomal RNA", at positions 28 to 507 of the family's 1533-position model. The record is from RNAcentral.
GACGAACGCUGGCGGCGUGCUUAACACAUGCAAGUCGUACGGUAAGGCCCUUUCGGGGGUACACGAGUGGCGAACGGGUGAGUAACACGUGAGUAACCUGCCCACAACUUUGGGAUAACGCUAGGAAACUGGUGCUAAUACUGGAUAUGUGCUCCUGCUGCAUGGUGGGGGUUGGAAAGCUCCGGCGGUUGUGGAUGGACUCGCGGCCUAUCAGCUUGUUGGUGGGGUAGUGGCCUACCAAGGCGGCGACGGGUAGCCGGCCUGAGAGGGUGACCGGCCAUAUUGGGACUGAGAGACGGCCCAGACUCCUACGGGAGGAAGCAGGGGGGAAUAUUGCACAAUGGGCGCAAGCCGGAUGCAGCAACGCCGCGGGCGGGAUGACGGCCUUCGGGUUGAAAACCGCUUUCAGCAGGGACGAAGCUUUUUGUGACGGUACCUGCAGAAGAAGCACCGGCUAACUACGUG